Molecule: ribosomal RNA, 400 nt
Filed under: uncultured bacterium
Lineage: Bacteria
Description: bacterial SSU rRNA
Rfam family: Bacterial small subunit ribosomal RNA
Source: RNAcentral
UGGGGAAUUUUGGACAAUGGCCGCAAGCCUGAUCCAGCAAUGCCGCGUGCAGGAUGAAGGCCUUCGGGUUGUAAACUGCUUUUGUACGGAACGAAAAGGCUCUGGUUAAUACCUGGGGUCCAUGACGGUACCGUAAGAAUAAGCACCGGCUAACUACGUGCCAGCAGCCGCGGUAAUACGUAGGGUGCAAGCGUUAAUCGGAAUUACUGGGCGUAAAGCGUGCGCAGGCGGUUUUGUAAGACAGAGGUGAAAUCCCCGGGCUCAACCUGGGAACUGCCUUUGUGACUGCAAGGCUGGAGUACGGCAGAGGGGGAUGGAAUUCCGCGUGUAGCAGUGAAAUGCGUAGAUAUGCGGAGGAACACCGAUGGCGAAGGCAAUCCCCGUGGGCCUGUACUGACGC